Molecule: ribosomal RNA, 253 nt
Filed under: uncultured bacterium
Lineage: Bacteria
Description: partial 16S ribosomal RNA
Rfam family: Bacterial small subunit ribosomal RNA
Source: RNAcentral
UACGUAGGGUGCGAGCGUUAAUCGGAAUUACUGGGCGUAAAGCGUGCGCAGGCGGUGAUGUAAGACCGAUGUGAAAUCCCCGGGCUUAACCUGGGAACUGCAUUGGUGACUGCAUCGCUCGAGUAUGGCAGAGGGGGGUAGAAUUCCACGUGUAGCAGUGAAAUGCGUAGAGAUGUGGAGGAACACCGAUGGCGAAGGCAGCCCCCUGGGUUAACACUGACGCUCAGGCACGAAAGCGUGGGGAGCAAACAGG